RNAcentral lists this ribosomal RNA (433 nucleotides) under uncultured bacterium. Its description in RNAcentral is "partial 16S ribosomal RNA". It matches the Rfam family "Bacterial small subunit ribosomal RNA", at positions 29 to 507 of the family's 1533-position model. The record is from RNAcentral.
AACGAACGCUGGCGGCAUGCCUAACACAUGCAAGUCGAACGAGACCUUCGGGUCUAGUGGCGCACGGGUGCGUAACGCGUGGGAACCUGCCCUUAGGUUCGGAAUAACUCCCCGAAAGGGGUGCUAAUACCGGAUCAUGUAUUCGGAACAAAGAUUUAUCGCCUUUGGAUGGGCCUGCGUUGGAUUAGCUAGUUGGUAGGGUAAAAGCCUACCACGGGGACGUUGGAUAGCUGGUUUGAGAGGCUGAUCUGCGACACUGGGACUGGGACACGGCCCAGACUCCUACGGGAGGCAGCAGUGGGGAAUAUUGGACAGUGGGCUAUAGCCUGAUCCAGCACGGCCGCGUGAGUGAUGAAGGCCGUAGGGUUGUAAAGCUCGUUUACCCGGGAUGAUAAUGACAGUACCGGGAGAAUAAGCACCGGCUAACUCCGUG